RNAcentral lists this transfer RNA (73 nucleotides) under Fasciola hepatica (liver fluke). RNAcentral describes it as "tRNA-Ala". Lineage: Eukaryota; Metazoa; Platyhelminthes; Trematoda; Plagiorchiida; Fasciolidae. The record is from RNAcentral.
AUCGCGACUGCCCAGCUGGUAGAGCAUCUGCCGAGCAUGCAGAGGGUCGCCGGUUCGACUCCGGCUCUCGGCG